GAUGAACGCUAGCUACAGGCUUAACACAUGCAAGUCGAGGGGAAACGAUGAGAGAGCUUGCUCUCUUAGUCGUCGACCGGCGCACGGGUGAGUAACGCGUAUCCAACCUGCCUCUGACCAAGGGAUAACCCGUCGAAAGUCGGACUAAUACCUUAUGCAGUCGUCGGAAGUCAUCUGAUGACGACGAAAGAUUUCAUCGGUGAGAGAUGGGGAUGCGUCUGAUUAGCUUGUUGGCGGGGUAACGGCCCACCAAGGCGACGAUCAGUAGGGGUUCUGAGAGGAAGGUCCCCCACAUUGGAACUGAGACACGGUCCAAACUCCUACGGGAGGCAGCAGUGAGGAAUAGUGGUCAAGGGGCGUAAGCCUGAACCAGCCAAGUAGCGUGCAGGAUGACGGCCCUAUGGGUUGUAAACUGCUUUUAUGCGGGGAUAAAGUGAGGGACGUGUCCUUCAUUGCAGGUACCGCAUGAAUAAGGACCGGCUAAUUCCGUG
This 491-nucleotide ribosomal RNA is filed under the name uncultured bacterium. RNAcentral's name for it is "partial 16S ribosomal RNA". It matches the Rfam family "Bacterial small subunit ribosomal RNA", at positions 28 to 507 of the family's 1533-position model. The record is from RNAcentral.